UACGUAGGUCCCGAGCGUUGUCCGGAUUUAUUGGGCGUAAAGCGAGCGCAGGUGGUUUAUUAAGUCUGGUGUAAAAGGCAGUGGCUCAACCAUUGUAUGCAUUGGAAACUGGUAGACUUGAGUGCAGGAGAGGAGAGUGGAAUUCCAUAUGUAGCGGUGAAAUGCGUAGAUAUAUGGAGGAACACCGGUGGCGAAAGCGGCUCUCUGGCCUGUAACUGACGCUGAGGCUCGAAAGCGUGGAGAGCAAACAGG
RNAcentral lists this ribosomal RNA (252 nucleotides) under uncultured bacterium. RNAcentral describes it as "partial 16S ribosomal RNA". It matches the Rfam family "Bacterial small subunit ribosomal RNA", at positions 524 to 776 of the family's 1533-position model. The record is from RNAcentral.